UCAGACGUGACACAAAUGGUU
Molecule: non-coding RNA, 21 nt
Filed under: Caenorhabditis elegans
Lineage: Eukaryota; Metazoa; Nematoda; Chromadorea; Rhabditida; Rhabditidae
Source: RNAcentral